RNAcentral lists this unclassified non-coding RNA (251 nucleotides) under uncultured Sordariomycetes. RNAcentral describes it as "sequence contains ITS2". The record is from RNAcentral. Lineage: Eukaryota; Fungi; Ascomycota; Sordariomycetes.
AAACGCAUAUUACGCCCGCUAGUAUUCUGGCGGGUAUGCCUGUUCGAGCGUUAUUUCAACUAUCAAGCUCUUGCUUACGUUGGGGUCCUGCGGCUGCCCGCAGACCCUUAAAACCAGUGGCGGGCUUACUAUUAUAUCUGAGCAUAGUAAUACAUCUCGCUCCAGUCGUACGGCGUACUAUUUUGCCGUUAAAUACCCUUCCUUUUAGCAAGGUUGACCUCGGAUCAGGUAGGAAUAUCCGCUGAACUUAA